This 376-nucleotide ribosomal RNA is filed under the name Kodamaea ohmeri. RNAcentral's name for it is "eukaryotic LSU rRNA". It matches the Rfam family "Eukaryotic large subunit ribosomal RNA", at positions 197 to 656 of the family's 3401-position model. Lineage: Eukaryota; Fungi; Ascomycota; Pichiomycetes; Serinales; Debaryomycetaceae. The record is from RNAcentral.
AGCGACCUCCAGAGGGUGAGAAUCCCGUGCGGCACGGCCCCCGGCUCCUUAUAAGGCGCUCUCGACGAGUCGAGUUGUUUGGGAAUGCAGCUCAAAGUGGGUGGUAAAUUCCAUCUAAAGCUAAAUACAGGCGAGAGACCGAUAGCGAACAAGUACAGUGAUGGAAAGAUGAAAAGCACUUUGAAAAGAGAGUGAAACAGCACGUGAAAUUGUUGAAAGGGAAGGGCAUGCCGUCAGAUUGUCAGUGUGGGUAAGAAGCGGGGUACAAAGACUGUGGAACGUGGCCCUCGGGUGUUAUAGCCGCAGUUCAUGCCCCGUCUCUUUCCGAGGCCUGCUUUGAGGACACCGACGUAAUGACGGUACGCCGCCCGUCUUG